AAUGGGCGAAAGCCUGAUGCAGCGACGCCGCGUGAGGGAUGACGGCCUUCGGGUUGUAAACCUCUUUCAGCAGGGAAGAAGCGAAAGUGACGGUACCUGCAGAAGAAGCACCGGCUAACUACGUGCCAGCAGCCGCGGUAAUACGUAGGGUGCGAGCGUUGUCCGGAAUUAUUGGGCGUAAAGAGCUUGUAGGCGGUUUGUCGCGUCUGCUGUGAAAAUCCGGGGCUCAACCCCGGACUUGCAGUGGGUACGGGCAGACUAGAGUGUGGUAGGGGAGACUGGAAUUCCUGGUGUAGCGGUGAAAUGCGCAGAUAUCAGGAGGAACACCGAUGGCGAAGGCAGGUCUCUGGGCCACUACUGACGCUGAGAAGCGAAAGCAUGGGGAGCGAACAGGAUUAGAUACCCUGGUAGUCCAUGCCGUAAACGUUGGGCGCUAGGUGUGGGACUCAUUCCACGAGUUCCGUGCCGCAGCUAACGCAUUAAGCGCCCCGCCUGGGGAG
RNAcentral lists this ribosomal RNA (500 nucleotides) under Terrabacter sp. YK4. RNAcentral's name for it is "bacterial SSU rRNA". It matches the Rfam family "Bacterial small subunit ribosomal RNA", at positions 370 to 880 of the family's 1533-position model. Lineage: Bacteria; Bacillati; Actinomycetota; Actinomycetes; Micrococcales; Intrasporangiaceae. The record is from RNAcentral.